RNAcentral lists this transfer RNA (71 nucleotides) under Ophidiaster ophidianus. RNAcentral describes it as "tRNA-Pro". The record is from RNAcentral. Lineage: Eukaryota; Metazoa; Echinodermata; Asteroidea; Valvatida; Ophidiasteridae.
CAGGAAAUAGUUUAGGUGAGAAUAGUAACUUUGGGAGUUACUGGUACAAGUUUAGAAUCUUGUUUUCCUGA